CCUACGGGAGACUGCAGUGAGGAAUAUUGGUCAAUGGACGAGAGUCUGAACCAGCCAAGUAGCGUGAAGGAUGACUGCCCUAUGGGUUGUAAACUUCUUUUAUAAAGGAAUAAAACGAGGCACGUGUGCCUUUUUGCAUGUACUUUAUGAAUAAGGAUCGGCUAACUCCGUGCCAGCAGCCGCGGUAAUACGGAGGAUCCGAGCGUUAUCCGGAUUUCUUGGGUUUAAAGGGAGCGUAGAUGGGUUGUUAAGUCAGUUGUGAAAGUUUGCGGCUCAACCGUAAAAUUGCAAUUGAUACUGGCAGUCUUGAGUACAGUUGAGGUAGGCGGAAUUCGUGGUGUAGCGGUGAAAUGCUUAGAUAUCACGAAGAACCCCGAUUGCGAAGGCAGCUUACUAAACUGUGACUGACAUUGAUGCUCGAAAGUGUGGGUAUCAAACAGGAUUAGAUACCCCAGUAGUC
RNAcentral lists this ribosomal RNA (460 nucleotides) under uncultured bacterium. RNAcentral describes it as "partial 16S ribosomal RNA". It matches the Rfam family "Bacterial small subunit ribosomal RNA", at positions 338 to 795 of the family's 1533-position model. The record is from RNAcentral.